Molecule: ribosomal RNA, 253 nt
Filed under: uncultured bacterium
Lineage: Bacteria
Description: partial 16S ribosomal RNA
Rfam family: Bacterial small subunit ribosomal RNA
Source: RNAcentral
UACGGGGGGUGCAAGCGUUAUUCGGAAUCAUUGGGCGUAAAGGGCGCGUAGGCGGCCCCUUAAGUCAGAUGCGAAAGCCCUCAGCUUAACUGAGGAAGUGCAUUUGAAACUAAGGGGCUUGAGUAUGGGAGAGGGAAGCGGAAUUCCUGGUGUAGCGGUGAAAUGCGUAGAUAUCAGGAGGAACACCGGUGGCGAAGGCGGCUUCCUGGACCAAUACUGACGCUGAGGCGCGAAGGCGUGGGGAGCAAACAGG